GAGGUAGUGACAAGAAAUAACAAUACGGGGCUUAAUGUCUUGUAAUUGGAAUGAUGGGAAUUUAAACCUCUUCCAGAGUAUCAAUUGGAGGGCAAGUCUGGUGCCAGCAGCCGCGGUAAUUCCAGCUCCAAUAGCGUAUAUUAAAAUUGUUGCAGUUAAAAAGCUCGUAGUUGAAUUUCUGCUGCAUUACAUAUCUCUUGUUUGAGUUUGUUUUUGUGGCUUAUUUCGGUUUGAUUUUUCUUUCCGGAUGAUUACUUUGAGAAAAUUAGAGUGCUCAAAGCAGGCUUUUGCCUUGAAUAGUUUAGCAUGGAAUAAUAAAGUAGGACUUUGGUUCUAUUUUGUUGGUUUUAGGUACCAAAGUAAUGGUUAAUAGGAACAGUUGGGGGCAUUCGUAUUUAACUGUCAGAGGUGA
RNAcentral lists this ribosomal RNA (412 nucleotides) under Theileria orientalis. RNAcentral's name for it is "SSU rRNA". It matches the Rfam family "Eukaryotic small subunit ribosomal RNA", at positions 461 to 914 of the family's 1831-position model. The record is from RNAcentral. Lineage: Eukaryota; Apicomplexa; Aconoidasida; Piroplasmida; Theileriidae.